CCCAACACACACCAGGAGGUGGUGGUGGCCAGUCAGGCCAAUGCCAGUCUCUGCUCUCACCCACCACUCUGUCCCCAAGGGGUUCCCGAAUGUAUCAGGAAGGUGGCCUUCUGCUGGUGACUGCUGCCAGACAGGGCCCUUCGGUGACCUCUCCUGUCCCUGGCCUGCCGUGGACAUAAGUGCAGCUGCCCACACCCCUGCCCAGGCUUUGGUGGGGGAAAGGCCUAGGGGCCAGCGCAGAUAUACCACAGGCUCCGUCCAGCCUGGACAGUCCUUGUCUGCAUCUCAGUGCCCGGGGCUGACUCUGUCCAGAUGCAGAGAACAAAGGCAGGGAAGGGCUCAGGGAAUGUUCCAGGUGUGGGAAUCCCAGCGUCCCCUCCAUCCCCUCCGGCCAUCGGCGUUCAGCCGGGACUUCUAGUCCUCUUUCACCAACGCGGGGUGUUGUGCAACUGCUGCCGGCCAGGCUCAGGCGGGAACAGGAAAGGCCACCUCGCGUUGGAAUGGGCCAGAAGCUCUUUCCACAGAGGUGACAUUUUAAUUGAGUCCCAAGGAAGGAGAAGGAGCCAGAGCAAAGGGCAGGCUGAGGAGCCUUGGAAGGCCAGGGCGCCGAGAUGGGGUGCAGAGUGGGCGGAUUAAAGGCCCCAGAAGAUGCCUCACCUGAAUCCCUGCAGCCUGCGAAUGUCACUGUACCUGAGGAACAAAAGGUCUUUGCCAGAUAAGGUGGCAGAAUUAAGAUGCUUCACUAAGAUCCUUCAUGAAGGAUUCAAGAUGGGGAGAUUGUCCUGGAUCACCCGGGGGAACUCCUCAUGCAAAAGCGUCCCCACGAGAGGAGGCAGAGGAGCUAGCCCUACACAGGGCAGCCAAAGGGCAGUGGGAAGCAACUGAAGCAGGAAUGGACGUGACGCAGCCACCAGCCAAGGCCACCUGCAGCCCCAGACACUGGAAGAGACAGAAAGGACACUCCCCUGGAGCCCCAGGAGGGAGCAAGGCCCUUCCUGUCUGAUUGAGCCCAGUGGUGCUGACCCACACUUCUGGUCUGGAACUGUAAGAUAAUUUUGUAUUGUUUUUAAGCCACAAAAUGCUUGAAAAUGUGUUAGCCACAAGGGGCAAGAGGAUGGUUACCCAGACAGGUCAGGCGGUGGGAAAAAUCCUCACCCCUUUUAAAGUGAUUCGAGGCUAGGGAGGUAGCUCAGCCGUAGAGCGCUGGUCGUCACGUGCCAGACUGCGUCCAAUCUCUAAUGCUGCAGAGACAGAAGGGAAGAAAGAAAGGCGGAGGGUGGGGGGCAGAUAGGGGAAGGAAGAAAUAAAUUUGACUGUUAUAAGCAGGACGUGGUGGCUCAUGACUGUAGCUGCUGUAGCUUGGGAGGCUGAGACAGGAGGUUGCAAGUUCAAGGCCAGCCUCAGCAAAUUGAGUGAAGUCCUAAGCAACUCAGCAAGACCCUGUCUCAAAAAGUAAAAAGGGCUGGGGAGGUGGCUCAGUGAUGGUGUCCCUGGGUGGAGAGAAAGCAAGCCCUCCACUCCUCUCUUUCUCUCUCGUCCCCACACGGUGACUUCCUUUAAACCCCUCCUGCCUCGCCUUGUGCCUGGGCUCGGGAGGCCAUGGGAAGCUGCUUCUGCCACCCAGCUCCUGGCUGUCAGCACCCACAGUGGCAGCAGGAUUGCUGCAAGCUCUGUCACUCUAGCAGCUGAUAAACCCCACAAGCUGCGGAUCUGGAGCCUGGGCCUCCAGCCCUGAUAAGUUGGGGCUGUCAGCGCCGGGUCUGCAGCUGCCGCAAGCCAGGAGUCCAGGGCCUCCGCCCCACACACUCGGAACUUCCUGCUGCCUGUUUACAGCCAAGCCCAGGCCACCUUGAGGUGACCCUAGGAAGCCAGGCUUGCAGCAGCAGGAGAGGGACGGAGGGUUGGCCGCACGUGGGGCAAGUCCACCGUGGUGACGUUCUCCUGCCUCAAAUGCCGUCCGGGGCCCUCAUUUCCAGACGAUUUCUUCUGUUCUCCAAGGGAUCAGUGUGUGGGCGGCCAGAGAGAAGCCAGCAGGGAGUAGACAGAAUUCAACCGUGAUUGUCGGGAAGGCUCAGCAUCCUGGGGACCCUUCCCAAGGCACCCUGCAACCCCAGAGAGUGGUUUUGUCCCUCCAGACACAUUUGGUGAUGUCCAAUGUGUUAUCUCCUGUUGCCACCAGGGAGGGGGGCUACCUACAUCCCAUGGGCAGAUGCCCAGGGGCAGCUCAACACCCCAUCACGCUCAGGAGCACCCAACCCAGCCCAGGCAUCGUUAGUGCCGGAGUUGAGAAGCCCCAAGCCGAACACGGGAGCAAAUCUGGAAGGGGGCCUCCAAGUGCCUCGCCCAGAGGGGCUAAGGCCAGUCCAAGCCCUGCUGGAGCCCGGACAAGGACCAGGGUCGCCUGUCAAAGGCCUCCCAGAAGACCAGGCGAGCCCUCAUGUCCCCAGUGCUGGCACUUCCCCGCUCUUCAGGUGUCCAUGCAGGUGAUGCUCCUCCCGGCGGUGCUCCCACACAGCAGCUCUGGGUGAGGAGGAGGAACGAUUACUAACCCCAUUUUACAGCAGAAGCCCCGGCUUUGGCUCCCUGCCAAGGUUGCCACUCACAGGUGGGGACCUUCCUUCAGCACCUCAGACUGCUACUGGAUGACACAGGUAAUCUGUGGGCGCCAGCGCCCUGAGCUCGUGUGGCUGGGAGUUUCCUGUUCUGAUGGAGAACGCCUUGGGGCCCCGUGGCCAGGGGAGCUGGUAGACCUGGAGGAGUCACAUGGAAGUCACUUGGCCACCACAGCUGGUGUGAAGUGCUGUCGGCUGCUCUCACAUUGCCCAGAUUCUACAGCCCCCUCCCCACGCGGGACUCAGGGCAGCUGCAGGUGUGCAGUGUGGCCAGAGAGCGUCUCCGGCCCCGGGCUCGGUGACCCACACCUGGCUCACAGCAGCCUGGAGCGUGUGGAGUUCAGAGGACCCUCCUGCCCCGUCCACAGAAUGGGUGACAAGAUCCGUGAGCUCCUCGGCCAUCCCUGGUAGAAGAGCUAGAAAAGCCGGGAGAGAAGUGGAGGUCGGCCCAAGACAGGUGACCAUGGAGGUGCAGAGGCCUCCUGCUUUUGAGACUGACCCGUCCUGCCCUGCCCCACUCCCUGGGUGAGAGGGGCCCAGCCAACACCCACGACACCCACCAUGCACUCUGCAAAUACCCCAAAUGCCCCUCCCUGUCCUCAGAAAUGUGUGAGUCAAGAAAAAGAGAAAGACCAACUGUAGCUGUUGUCAUUUUGCUAUUUCAUUAAUUACAAGGGCCAGAUCUCACCGGGACCCACCCAAACUCAGGAGUCAGUGGUAGAAAAAUGAUGGAAAGCCCCCAAGCAUGGCAUGGCAACCUGGAAGUUCAGACUAGGGGCCUGGGGCCUCAGGGAGAACGAGGGGCCAGGCUGGGGGGAGAUGUGCCUGUCGUCUUCCUCGGUGCCCCCCCACUUCUGCCCUGAUGCUCUGGGGGCUUCCCAGCCUUGACUCCACGCCCACCUGCUUGUCCACUUCUGCCUGAGUCUCAUGGAACCAGGCUGCCAGGGACAGGAAGCCAGCGAGCCACCCGUCACCCGUGUGGUGAGCAUGCAGACUGUCCCCAGGCCCUGGUUCAGCUGAGCCCCCACCGUAUCAUCUGGCUGCCUCCUUGGUGGAUGUGAGCAGCUACUGAGCCCCGAGUCCUGGAGUCACAGUGGGGAGCCCACAGCGCUCUGCGUGGAGCUGAUGUAUCACCAAAGGAGAGAAGGGUCCUGCGGAAACGGAAAGAGAAUAAGCCUCUCCGAGGGCCUGGGAAGGCCUUUCUGAAGAGGUGGCAUCUAAGAGGAAGGAGAGGGAGGGCUGUGGACAGGCCCUGUGAAAGGCACUCGGUGUGUUGGUGGACAGGAGCGAUGACCGUGGGCCUGGGCCUGGGGUGAGGGGUGAGCAGGGCCGAGCUCUGUGGGGCCUCCUUGACUGUGGGAGUCAGGUCUCACCAGGGGCCGUGGGCAGCCACUAAACUGAACAGAAAUAGGCCAACAGGUCCCACUUGCCACCCUUCCUGCCUUGGAAAAAACCUUAGGAUAAAAGGAAAGGACAAGGCCAGGCCCUGGAGAGCCGGAGAGGAGUCGUCUCUGUGCAGCAAGGCUGCGGGCCCUCGGUGUCCCAUGCAGAGGCUGACUUCAUGGGACUUCUCCUGCUGCCCCCGCGGCCAUGUCCCUGAGGGUGGAGUGCUGGGAGCCUAGAGACCAAGGGGGGGAAGAAGUCUUGAGCUUCCUGACCCGAGGCCGGCUGGGCUGGGACUCCCAGGCCCUCAGGGCUCCUGGGCUGAGCACCAGGCUGCCAGACGGCUACCUGGGCAUCCCCCCCUCCACCCGCACCCCCAGAGUAGAGCAGAAAGCAAAAAGGACGGUCAAAAAAGGAAAGCCACGGCUGGAAGGUCAGUCAGCACCGGGAACGGGCGGCUCUGCCCCUCGCCUUGGCGCUGGCCUGGCGCAGCCGGGAAGCGGCUGAAGCAGCUCCAGGGUGUGCGGGCGGGGCUGGCCAGGGGAGAGGUGCCCGGGACCACCAGCCAUUGGGCGGUGCCAUUGGCCUUGCAGGCUGACCUCAUUGCCCAGGCCCGCAGGAGUGCUUCCUGGGGUCACAUUCCGUGCUGAAGAGCCCCUCUCCAAGACCUUGGUUGGCGCCAAUGUCUUUUUAGGAACCGAGGCUCUAAUUUUAGUGUUCCGGCCUUCGACACCUCUUGAAAUAGCUCCCUGUUUUCCCCUAUGUUCCUGCCCCCUCCUUGGAGAAGGUGAACCCCCUGCGUCCCCGUGAUCCAAGUUGGUCCGCUCAAGCCCAAGGCCUUGUAUGGGUCUCCGUGGGGGAGCCGUGUCCCUGGUGUGUUUGUGACGCUGGACCCAGAGGACCCACCUCUGGCCAGCGCAGCUCACAGCCCCCACGUUGGCAGCGACACUGGGCAGGGCACGGUCAGUGCUCACCCCUCUUCCUCGUCCAUCUGCCUUCCUCAGGGACAUCAUGGAUUCAUAUGACCCAAUCCAGGUUCCACCCCCUGAGAACCAAGGUGCCAACUCACCCAGCCCCACCUGUGGGACCCAGGGUGAGUGGGUAGCUCGGCCCAGGGGAGCCUCCGUUGCCUUCUCGGGUUCUGCACCCUCUUGUCCCAACAAUGACAAUUGCUAAGUGUUUCCUGGGGACUUGCUGUGGGUGACAGGUGCUUCUCGUGGAUGGUUUCAUUUGACUCCCUCAACUACCUUGUCGAGGUGGGUACUAUAAUUGUCCCCAAGUGCCAAAAGGUGGAACAGGAAUUUGAACUCAGGAAAUGCGGCUCCCAGCCCUUGCCUCAUGGUGCCCGUGGUUCUCCUACCUGAAUGCUCUUUGAUCCCUGCGAUGGCCUCUCCCCUUUGCCUUUGUCUCGGCCCUCCACUCAGUUCUUCUACCAAGCAGACCAGAGGUUCUGUCUAGGUUGCCUGAGGUCACACAGCAAACUAGUGAUGGAUGAAAACACUGCUCCAAAGGUCCAAGCCCCAGGUGGGAUUCCAGGAAGGAACUGGAGCCUGGCUCAGAGGUGACGGCUCUGCGAGAAGGUCAUGGUGCAGGCCACACCUGGGCAAAGAAGGUGCUUUCAGGAAACAGCCAGGGAGGGGCAUCACGUCCUGGGAAGGCUCAGCCAGCUGCCCUGUCCCCAACAGCCCUGUCUGUCCCAUGUGCUCUAUCCAUGCACAGGGCCAGAGAGAGCCUGGGAAGGCAGGGGCUGCCCAGCCUGAAAAUGACCAGAGGGAGUGACUGCCACCCAGUGCCUCCCAUUUAAAUAAUGCAAAGGCUGCAGACUCAGGGCACUCUCGGAAUGCAGCAAAGAAGGGUCAGCCAGGCGUUGGUGACGGACAGAUUCCAGUGUCAACCCUGGGAGUCUCCAUCUGAGACCUGCCCCACCCCACGAGGCCACCCUGCCCACCCACACGCCCCUGCAUCUCCCCUGCCCUAACUCAUAAUCUCCAAAGUGCCCUCAUACCACUGUGGCUUGCCCACCUCUGGGGACCCUGAGAACUGAGACCCCCAUCGGGGAAGGGAACCUAGGGCCUCCCACUGGGGUCCUUCCAUCAGGCAGCAACAAACCGGUUUGCUGUCAACCUGUAGACCACCUGGUCCUCUAAAGGAGGCCCAGAGAAGCUACAUGGGACCAAAGACAGCCCCCCCCCACCGGCUCUGCCCACCUGUCCCAAGGCCUUGCUGCGCACGAGGCCUGCGCUCUGCCCCUGAGCCGUGCCUCCAGCCCAGACUUGGUGUCUUCUUUCCCAGGCCACAGACACACUUUGGAAGCAUCUGGACCCCUGGCUCUGCUCCUGCCCACUCGUCUGACUUGGUCACUCACUGUACCUUGGACUUGGGUCCACCUGUCGGGAGCCUGUGAUAUUCUGCUGCCCAUUUCAGAACCAGGUGCCCCAGGCACAGCUUUGCCAGGGGAGCCCCACCUGGCCUUUCCCAGGGAACCCAAGACUGGGUUUUGCUAUUCUUUAAAAAGGUCACCAAGGGGCUGGGGAUAUAGCUCAGUGGGUAGAGUGCUUGCCUCGCAGGCACAAGGCCCUGGGUUCAAUCCCCAGCACCACAAAAAGAAAGUCACUGACCUCACAUUAACGUUA
Marmota monax (woodchuck) is the source of this 6628-nucleotide long non-coding RNA. RefSeq lists it as uncharacterized. NCBI's taxonomy places the organism in Eukaryota, Metazoa, Chordata, Mammalia, Rodentia, Sciuridae. The record is from RefSeq and is a predicted model, not a curated record. The transcript is spliced from 6 exons.